Molecule: small nucleolar RNA, 133 nt
Organism: Betta splendens (Siamese fighting fish)
Lineage: Eukaryota; Metazoa; Chordata; Actinopteri; Anabantiformes; Osphronemidae
Product: small nucleolar RNA SNORA8
Source: Ensembl
AGCACUGUGGUAUCUGCAGCCAGUUGGUUUGUCUACUGGUUUGUUUAAAUGUCAGUGCUAGACAAACUCAAUUGGCAUCGAUGGUCUCCAUUCUGUCUGUGUUUGGAGUCCUGGUAUAUUUGUUGAAACACUA